Molecule: long non-coding RNA, 321 nt
Filed under: Anser brachyrhynchus (Pink-footed goose)
Lineage: Eukaryota; Metazoa; Chordata; Aves; Anseriformes; Anatidae
Description: lncRNA (ENSABRG00000000239.1)
Source: RNAcentral
UGCAUCUCCUCUUUUCAACGCAAAUGUCUUGAGUCAUAGUUUAAAGCUCAGAUCUCAGAUCAUUGCUCUGUUGGUGUAUUUCUGUGUAUUUGAAGACGACUUUGGCAACCUGAAUGUUACUUUGUUCUGUUUCAGGGCUGUCACCUGGACCAGUACUACUAUGCUGUUCUCUGCAGUAAGCAUUACCCACCAGAGGGAGCCGAAGCCAAGAACUGUCAGAUUUUGAUCUGCCUUCCAGUUCUCAAGAGCGUUCCCUACUGCAGAACCUUGGAGACUGGAGAAGGAGGUAAAACAGGAAAUGGAAAGACUGCAACUUGCUAG